AUACGGAGGAUCCGAGCGUUAUCCGGAUUUAUUGGGUUUAAAGGGUGCGCAGGCGGCCAUUUAAGUCAGCGGUUAAAUCGUGGGGCUCAACCCCAUUCUGCCGUUGAUACUGGGUGGCUUGAUUGCGGUCGAGGUUGGCGGAAUUCGUUGUGGAGCGGUGGAAUGCAUAGAUAUGACGAAGAACACCGAUUGCGUAGGCAGCUGACCAGACCGCAAAUGACGCUCAUGCACGAAAGUGCGGGGAUCGAACAGGAUUAGAUACCCUGGUAGUCCGCACAGUAAACGAUGAAUACUUGUUUUCGGCGAUAUAAUGUCGGAGGCAAAGCGAAAGCGAUAAGUAUUCCACCUGGGGAGUACGCCGGCAACGGUGAAACUCAAAUGAAUUGACGGGG
This 392-nucleotide ribosomal RNA is filed under the name uncultured bacterium. RNAcentral describes it as "partial 16S ribosomal RNA". It matches the Rfam family "Bacterial small subunit ribosomal RNA", at positions 523 to 918 of the family's 1533-position model. The record is from RNAcentral.